RNAcentral lists this transfer RNA (73 nucleotides) under Blyttiomyces helicus. It matches the Rfam family "tRNA". From Rfam's summary of the family: Transfer RNA (tRNA) molecules are approximately 80 nucleotides in length. Their secondary structure includes four short double-helical elements and three loops (D, anti-codon, and T loops). Lineage: Eukaryota; Fungi; Chytridiomycota; Chytridiomycetes. The record is from Rfam by way of RNAcentral.
GCGAGGUUGGCUCAGUUGGCAGAGCGUAGGUCUCAUAAUCCUAAGGUCGUGAGUUCGAUCCUCACAUCUCGCA